CCACAAAAACAUCAGAUUGUUUUCUCUUUCUUUCUCUCACUUUGCUUUUUGUUUUUCUUCCUUCUUUGGUGAAAUCAUGGACAGAUUCCGAUGAGCUUUAAGCUCUACUAGCCACUAGCCACCAACCACUCCUCUUCUUUUCCUUCUCGUCUCUCCCUUUUUAGGCUUAUCGAUGAAAUCCACCAUCCUCAAUCAUUGUUGGUGAGAUUCCGACUUACCCCCACCUAUGCCGCCCUUUUCCACUGUUUCUUCAUCGGAAGUGGUGACCAAUGAAGGCCUGAAACCACCAUAGCCACGGACACCGCUACUGCUCCCUUGUCCCCCUUCCCUCUUCCCUCUUGUCAUUGUCGUCACUAGAUUUGGCCACCGAACAACCAACAAACAACUCCACAACUACUGUUUGCCGAAAAUGGGCUAGAUUUAGCCGAAAUCUAUGGCUUCCAGCAUCGCUCCAGCGAAAUUCGUGGAAGCAGCGUUCCUGAUCACGAUUGCUCUACUUUGGAGUUUUUGAUAUCAUGGAUGUGUAAUGGCAGAUUUAUUUUUAUGUCGUCG
RNAcentral lists this long non-coding RNA (552 nucleotides) under Capsicum annuum. RNAcentral's name for it is "long non-coding RNA (CANN_LNC020355)". Lineage: Eukaryota; Viridiplantae; Streptophyta; Magnoliopsida; Solanales; Solanaceae. The record is from RNAcentral.